This is a non-coding RNA of Paramormyrops kingsleyae, 322 nucleotides long. The record is from RefSeq and is a predicted model, not a curated record. NCBI's taxonomy places the organism in Eukaryota, Metazoa, Chordata, Actinopteri, Osteoglossiformes, Mormyridae.
ACUUCCUCACCCUUUUCCCAUCCCAGGGGUCUGAGACUCUUCCGUCACUCACAGGAGGAUGACAUCGUGCCAGAACUAACCAGGAGCAUCCACCCUCGAGAGAGGCCGGACUGGGAGGAGACCAUCAGCGCCAUGGCGCGGAGCGCCGAGAUCCCGGAGCUGAGCACGGAACCGCUCCUGAGGGCCUGCAGCAGCACUGCCAGCAUGAAGGUCAAGAACGUCAAGAAGCUGUCUUUCACGAAGGGCCACUUUCCCAAGCUAGCAGAAUGCGCCCACUUCCACUACGAGAACGUCGACUUCGGGACGAUACAGGUAAGGCUGG